This 478-nucleotide ribosomal RNA is filed under the name uncultured bacterium. Its description in RNAcentral is "partial 16S ribosomal RNA". It matches the Rfam family "Bacterial small subunit ribosomal RNA", at positions 28 to 523 of the family's 1533-position model. The record is from RNAcentral.
GACGAACGCUGGCGGCGUGCUUAACACAUGCAAGUCGAACGGUAAGGCCCUUCGGGGUACACGAGUGGCGAACGGGUGAGUAACACGUGGGUGAUCUGCCCUGCACUUCGGGAUAAGCCUGGGAAACUGGGUCUAAUACCGGAUAGGACCACUGCCUGCAUGGGUGGUGGUGGAAAGCUUUUUCUGUGUGGGAUGGGCCCGCGGCCUAUCAGCUUGUUGGUGGGGUGAUGGCCUACCAAGGCGACGACGGGUAGCCGGCCUGAGAGGGUGACCGGCCACACUGGGACUGAGAUACGGCCCAGACUCCUACGGGAGGCAGCAGUGGGGAAUAUUGCACAAUGGGCGCAAGCCUGAUGCAGCGACGCCGCGUGAGGGAUGACGGCCUUCGGGUUGUAAACCUCUUUCAGCACCGACGAAGCGCAAGUGACGGUAGGUGCAGAAGAAGGACCGGCCAACUACGUGCCAGCAGCCGCCGUAA